UUUAAAUAUAUUACAAUUUUAUUUGUCAGCUGUACCUCAAUAGACUUAGCCAUGAAUUUUACCCUCCUAGACCCUAAGUCUUGUGCUGCCUUCAAGGUACAGAAGCCCUUAACCACAGGAAGCCAGUGUUUCAUUCCGGAAAUGACUCCACCUCAUAGGUUUGGAGACCAUGUCUGUCUUUCCCCAGAGCCAGCAGUUUGAUAGUCAAAUAGAAAUCAGAUAAAGAGAAUUGGCCCUUGGAGAACAUGGGCCCAAGGUGAGAACUGCCAGGGGCCGUUUCAGGAGCCUGGAGUUUACCUGCACCGGGCCCUGCGCUCCUUUCACUGGAAGCAUCCACCUCGGCAGCCCGGCCUUUGUAUGCACUGCUCACCGGCUUGACCAUUUGCGCAAUCUGGGCAGUGACUGGGCUGGGGCAGCACAUCCCAAGACAGCAGACUUUCUACAGGCCACUUCCUGGAAAGAGGGGAACCCCCGGGAGAGAGGAUGAUUACUUAACAGGCUGUGUAAGCUGUCCGGCUGAUUCACCCAGAACCCAUUCAGGGAACCAGCAAGGCUGAGCGGUGUUUACUUUUGCAGAAUGUGGGAUGGUGCCUUGGACUCGGGCGAGCUCUGGGAACACCCACACGGCAGAUGAGGCCCCCAGAGAUGGAGACAGAGACAAGGGAAAACAGACCAUGGCAGGCUGUGCCGGUGGAAUCAUGGCGACUGACCCUUGACACACUAAGGUUUACCUGAGGGAGGAAGCACCACAGAACGCCCCACGCACUGGGGUCAGCGUUGCCCAGUAGGACUCACCCUCCCCUUGUGCACAUGCGUGUUUCACAUACGCCGAGGUCUUCCACGUGCGUGACCUCGCCUGAGCGUUUGCGUUUGGCCGUUUGACCCACAGUAAAGGGAAGGAAGAGUCAAGCGUCGUUACGGCAAUUGAUGGAAGCCGUUUACGAUCACGUCCUGGUUCUGCAUCAAGCAUCCUCUCCUUUAACUUAAAGCAGGGUGCAGAGUAGGUGCUGCUAUCGUCCCCACUUCACAGCUGAUGAAACUGAGGCUUGAGGUUCUAGAAAUGCGAGUCACGGCAGGCGAGCGGCAGAGCCGACUCCCACUGACACCCCAGCCCCACCCGACCCAUUUGCAUAAUUCAAACCAACGAUCCUCUGCAGCUGUCCCCGGCUCUCUGGUGGCUGGUCACAGGGGCCAGUUGGGAGGGAGCCCCGGAUGCCACGGAGCCCUGCGCGAGCGCUCUGGUCCGCCUCACCUCAGGAGGCAGAGAGGCUACUCACGCCACUCUCACCGCAGUGAUCUCGCCUCUAAUGGCCUCCACGGCUGGAGAGGGUGGGUGUGGCAGUGCCCACAGCCAGGGCCACCAGCCAGGCACCGAACAUCAGGGCCACGGAUCAGCCCACACUCCCAGCUGCCGCCCCCGUAGCCUCGGACCAGACGGACGGCUAGGUCGGUCCUGGCGCAGAGCACGUGUGGGAAGAGAGAGCAAUGCAGGCGAGACCCGGAAAGCAGGCUGUCGGUGCGUGAAGAAGGGUUUUCUUCUUUGGACCUAGAGAAGGAGGUGAAGGGAGGGGGCACCAUGUUUUGAUUUCCUACUGGGAGCCAGUGUGGUGUAAGCACCUGCGUGAUCUCACUGAGUCUUCACAGCCGCUCAGUGAGAUGGGUAUCGUUCAUUCAUCCAUCCAUUUAUUCAUCCAUUCAUUCAUUCACUUAAAUAUUUCUGGC
Molecule: long non-coding RNA, 1722 nt
Organism: Aethalodelphis obliquidens (Pacific white-sided dolphin)
Lineage: Eukaryota; Metazoa; Chordata; Mammalia; Artiodactyla; Delphinidae
Exons: 2
Source: RefSeq, a predicted model, not a curated record